UACAGAGGUCCCGAGCGUUGUUCGGAUUCAUUGGGCGUAAAGGGUGCGUAGGCGGUGGGGUAAGUUGGAUGUGAAAUCUUGGGGCUUAACCUCAAAAUUGCAUUCAAUACUGCUCCGCUCGAGUUCUGUAGAGGAGAUUGGAAUUUACGGUGUAGCAGUGAAAUGCGUAGAUAUCGUAAGGAACGCCAGUGGCGAAAGCGAAUCUCUGGGCAGCAACUGACGCUGAGGCACGAAGGCCAGGGGAGCAAACAGG
This 253-nucleotide ribosomal RNA is filed under the name uncultured bacterium. RNAcentral's name for it is "partial 16S ribosomal RNA". It matches the Rfam family "Bacterial small subunit ribosomal RNA", at positions 524 to 776 of the family's 1533-position model. The record is from RNAcentral.